Molecule: unclassified non-coding RNA, 200 nt
Filed under: uncultured Microascaceae
Lineage: Eukaryota; Fungi; Ascomycota; Sordariomycetes; Microascales
Description: sequence contains ITS2
Source: RNAcentral
UUAAGUUCAGCGGGUAACCCUACCUGAUCCGAGGUCAAACUUAGAGAGUAAGGUUUGACGGCAGGCCUCCACCGGGUCCCGAAGCGAGCUGUAAUACUACGCAGGGGGAGCCGCGGCAGGACCGCCACUUCAUUUCGGGGCCUACGGACAGGGCACGAGGCCCUGAACCGUAGCGCCCCAACACCGGGCAGCGGAUAGCA